RNAcentral lists this ribosomal RNA (762 nucleotides) under uncultured bacterium. RNAcentral's name for it is "bacterial SSU rRNA". It matches the Rfam family "Bacterial small subunit ribosomal RNA", at positions 744 to 1506 of the family's 1533-position model. The record is from RNAcentral.
CGCUGAGAUACGAAAGCGUGGGGAUCAAACAGGAUUAGAUACCCUGGUAGUCCACGCCGUAAACGAUGAACACUUGGUGUUGGAGGUAUUGACCCCUCCAGUGCCGAAGCUAACGCGUUAAGUGUUCCGCCUGGGAAGUACGGUCGCAAGAUUAAAACUCAAAGAAAUUGACGGGGGCCCGCACAAGCGGUGGAGCAUGUGGUUCAAUUCGAUGCAACGCGAAAAACCUUACCUGGGUUUGAAGUGCUAGUGAAUACGGUAGAGAUAUCGUAGGCCUUCGGGACACUAGUAUCAGGUGCUGCAUGGCUGUCGUCAGCUCGUGUCGUGAGAUGUCGGGUUAAGUCCCAUAACGAGCGCAACCCUUGUCUUUAGUUGCCAGCAUUCAGUUGGGCACUCUAAAGAGACUGCCGACGUUAAGUCGGAGGAAGGUGGGGAUGACGUCAAGUCCUCAUGGCCUUUAUGUCCAGGGCUACACACGUGCUACAAUGGUCGAUACAAAGGGUUGCGAUACCGCGAGGUGGAGCUAAUCCCAAAAAAUCGAUCUAAGUUCGGAUUGGAGUCUGCAACUCGACUCCAUGAAGUUGGAAUCGCUAGUAAUCGCGGAUCAGAACGCCGCGGUGAAUACGUUCCCGGGCCUUGUACACACCGCCCGUCACACCAUGAAAGCUGUUUGUACCAGAAGUCGCUGUGCUAACCGUAAGGAGGCAGGCGCCCAAGGUAUGAAGAGUGAUUGGGGUGAAGUCGUAACAAGGUAACCAAGGG